This 497-nucleotide ribosomal RNA is filed under the name uncultured bacterium. RNAcentral describes it as "partial 16S ribosomal RNA". It matches the Rfam family "Bacterial small subunit ribosomal RNA", at positions 28 to 507 of the family's 1533-position model. The record is from RNAcentral.
GAUGAACGCUGGCGGCGUGCCUAAUACAUGCAAGUCGAGCGAACAGACGAGGAGCUUGCUCCUCUGUCGUUAGCGGCGGACGGGUGAGUAACACGUGGAUAACCUACCUAUAAGACUGGGAUAACUUCGGGAAACCGGAGCUAAUACCGGAUAAUAUAUUGAACCGCAUGGUUCAAUAGUGAAAGACGGUUUUGCUGUCACUUAUAGAUGGAUCCGCGCCGCAUUAGCUAGUUGGUAAGGUAACGGCUUACCAAGGCAACGAUGCGUAGCCGACCUGAGAGGGUGAUCGGCCACACUGGAACUGAGACACGGUCCAGACUCCUACGGGAGGCAGCAGUAGGGAAUCUUCCGCAAUGGGCGAAAGCCUGACGGAGCAACGCCGCGUGAGCGAUGAAGGUCUUCGGAUCGUAAAACUCUGUUAUUAGGGAAGAACAAAUGUGUAAGUAACUAUGCACGUCUUGACGGUACCUAAUCAGAAAGCCACGGCUAACUACGUG